Molecule: long non-coding RNA, 1393 nt
Filed under: Triticum aestivum (bread wheat)
Lineage: Eukaryota; Viridiplantae; Streptophyta; Magnoliopsida; Poales; Poaceae
Description: long non-coding RNA (TAES_LNC028612)
Source: RNAcentral
UUUCCACAUAGUAGUAUAUGUGACUUUGUAGCUUAGAAUUGUGUGCAAAAAUCUACAUCAGUUCAUGCACCCCCAUAGCCUGUAAAACCUGCACAUGAUGCAAAAAAAGAAGUUUGAGAAAAAAUGAACCAACGCUAGCUUGUAUUUGUGCAACUUAACGAGUACAAGUGUGCAACCGACAACACUCCCAUAUCCAUCCACUUAUGGGGUUUGAAUUUCAUUAGUUGGCAUCUUCAACUCAUAUAAAAGUAAAAGAUGCCAACUCAGAUAAUUUCAGAUUCAUUUUGGUUUUAGCUAAAAAUCUGUAUGCAGAAUUUCAAAAAUAAACUUUAUGUUGGCUGUUGUGCAACUACAUCAUCUAUUUUGUGCAACUGCAAGUACUCCUGCAUGCAAAUCAUGUUGCGUGUUUAUGCAACUAUGUAUUGAAUUUUGAACUGAGGAACAUGAUGAAUUUAGCCUAUCUAAACACAAGAAAAUAGAUAAAAUAGUGAAUUUAAUAGAUUAUAAUCUUCCAAAUAAGUAGUGCAACUAUAGUCAAGUGCAUUUGCAAACCUAGAAAAUUAUAUGCAUGUGAACACAUGAGGAUGCCAACUACUGAAUGGUUCUUGUGCAACUAAAGAAGUUGAAGAUGCCAACUCACGUGGCACUGUUGCGCAACUAUUAAAAAAUUGAUGAUGCCAACUCCCUUAUGCAACUAAAAUAGUUGCGGAUGCCAACUCAUGCGAUAUUGUUAUGUGACUAUUCAAAAAGUUAAGACUGCCAACUCCCAAAUGGUUCUGGUGCUACUAUGAAAGUCGAGGAUGCCAACUCGUGUGAUACUGUUGUGCAACUAUUUGAAAACUUGAGGAUACCAACUCUUAAUUGAUUUUUGUACAACUAUAAAAGUUUCAGGAUGCCAACACCUAGCUGGUUCUUGUGCAACUGCGUAAAAAAUAAUAUCCCAGGUUUCUUUUUGUAGGAAAAAAAUCCUAAUGCCAUUUUAUGUUACCUCGGCAGCUGCUGCAGACGAUGUGCCAACUCCAGCUACAACUCCAACCUGCGUGGUCGCCUUCCGUUUCCGCCGUUUCACGAAGAGGAAUGGGUCACCAACCUAAAGGAUGCAUGGAAAAAGUAACUUGUGUGUGUGUCCAAAAAAGGGAAAUGCACCCUCACUGCUUCCUCGAUACCCCUAUUUUUGAGUCAAACGAAUAGUCACGACUAGUCGAUGAGUCGUAACUAGAAGUCGACUCAGACACCUCGACUAGAUCGGCACGGCAUGACUCGUCAAGAGUCGCUACCCCAGAAGGACUUGUCGAGUCGAAAACUUUGCACGAUAUUUACCUCAUCAUCCUCUGCCUCCCCAUCGACUUGGGGGCUGUUUCGAGUUCCACCGAGAAGAAUUGUUUACAGGCCC